GACGAACGCUGGCGGCACGCUUAACACAUGCAAGUCGAACGGAAAGGCCUGCUUUCCCUUGUGGAUUGCGGGUACUCGAGUGGCGAACGGGUGAGUAACACGUGAGUGAUCUGCCCCCAACUUGGGUAUAAGCCUGGGAAACUGGGUCUAAUUCCCGAUAGGACUGCAGGGUGGUGCCUGUGGUGGAAAACGAUUUUCUAGUGGUUGGGGAUGAGCUCGCGGCCUAUCAGCUUGUUGGUGGGGUAAUGGCCUACCAAGGCGGCGACGGGUAGCCGGCCUGAGAGGGUGGACGGCCACAUUGGGACUGAGAUACGGCCCAGACUCCUACGGGAGGCAGCAGUGGGGAAUAUUGCACAAUGGGCGGAAGCCUGAUGCAGCGACGCCGCGUGGGGGAUGACGGCCUUCGGGUUGUAAACUCCUUUCGACCGCGAGGAAGCCACCUGGUUGGAAGGGUGGUGACGGUAGUGGUAGAAGAAGCACCGGCUAACUACGUG
RNAcentral lists this ribosomal RNA (494 nucleotides) under uncultured bacterium. RNAcentral's name for it is "partial 16S ribosomal RNA". It matches the Rfam family "Bacterial small subunit ribosomal RNA", at positions 28 to 507 of the family's 1533-position model. The record is from RNAcentral.